UACAGAGGGUGCAAGCGUUAAUCGGAGUUACUGGGCGUAAAGGGCGCGUAGGCGGAUAUUUAAGUCGGAUGUGAAAUCCCUGGGCUUAACCUAGGAAUUGCAUUCGAUACUGAGUAUCUAGAGUAUGGUAGAGGAAAGUAGAAUUCUCGGUGUAGUGGUAAAAUACGUAGAUAUCGAGAGGAAUACCGGUGGCGAAGGCGACUUUCUGGACCAAUACUGACGCUGAGGCGCGAGAGCGUGGGGAGCAAACAGGAUUAGAUACCCUGGUAGUCCAUGCUGUAAACGAUGAGAACUAGAUGUUGUCUGGUUUUAUGCUAGGCAGUAUCGCAGCUAACGCAUUAAGUUCUCCGCCUGGGGAGUACGGUCGCAAGAUUAAA
Molecule: ribosomal RNA, 377 nt
Filed under: uncultured bacterium
Lineage: Bacteria
Description: bacterial SSU rRNA
Rfam family: Bacterial small subunit ribosomal RNA
Source: RNAcentral